Molecule: ribosomal RNA, 497 nt
Filed under: uncultured bacterium
Lineage: Bacteria
Description: partial 16S ribosomal RNA
Rfam family: Bacterial small subunit ribosomal RNA
Source: RNAcentral
GAUGAACGCUGGCGGCGUGCCUAAUACAUGCAAGUCGAGCGAACAGAUGAGGAGCUUGCUCCUCUGACGUUAGCGGCGGACGGGUGAGUAACACGUGGAUAACCUACCUAUAAGACUGGGAUAACUUCGGGAAACCGGAGCUAAUACCGGAUAAUAUAUUGAACCGCAUGGUUCAAUAGUUAAAGACGGUUUUGCUGUCACUUAUAGAUUGAUCCGCGCCGCAUUAGCUAGUUGGUAAGGUAACGGCUUACCAAGGCAACGAUGCGUAGCCGACCUGAGAGGGUGAUCGGCCACACUGGAAGUGAGACACGGUCCAGACUCCUACGCGAGGCAGCAGUAGGGAAUCUUACGCAAUGGGCGAAAGCCUGACGGAGCAACGCCGCGUGAGUGAUGAAGGUCUUCGGAUCGUAAAACUCUGUUAUUAGGGAAGAACAAAUGUGUAAGUAACUAUGCACGUCUUGACGGUACCUAAUCAGAAAGCCACGGCUAACUACGUG